Carya illinoinensis is the source of this 2600-nucleotide long non-coding RNA. RefSeq lists it as uncharacterized. The record is from RefSeq and is a predicted model, not a curated record. The transcript has 2 exons. Lineage: Eukaryota; Viridiplantae; Streptophyta; Magnoliopsida; Fagales; Juglandaceae.
CGCAAAAUGCAUAAACGCUUUUCCCCCUCCCGCUUGAGCCCUCUCUCCCUCUGAGUUUGUCUUCCCCUCCGGUUUGAGUCUCGAGCCCUAUCUCCCUCUCUUCUCCUACACGCAGAGUAUGUCUUCCUUUCUCGUCUGAGCCUCGAGCCCUCUCUCACUUCCUUAGCCCUCUCUCACUCUCUCAGUUUUGUAGCCCUCUCUCUCUCUAAACCCAAUCUGUAAUUCAAUUCCAUAUUGGAGGAAACUACUACGUCCAAAUCUGUGACUUGAAGACAUACAUACGUGCGUGCGUGUUUAGCUCAUCUCCAAAACCCUACAUCAUGAUAAGUUUUUGCAUAGCCUCAAUCUUUUUGGUUACCCAGUAUAGUGACUGUGUUGAAGUUGGGUUUUCUGAGUAGAAGAGAGACAUUGAGUUUGUGUUUAAUUUUAUGUAUGGAAGUUGUUUUCUCUUAAUCGUUUCUUGAAUGUAACUAUGUUUUUUGGUUCUGCCCGUCAACUGUUUGAUGGAAUUACUGAGUGAAAUGGACAUUGUGUGUGUCCAUGGUUGUGCCAAUCACGAUCUGUGUUCUGGUUUGGAAACCGUAGAAGAGAAGUGUAUUGUCCUGUAAUACUUUUUUUCUAGGUACUUUCCGUCUCAUUCAACCUAACUUUUUCUUUUCUUUUUGGCUUGAAGCAAGUAUACAAUUAGCCCUCCUUCUCUACCAUAAGCGAACAAUCUUGGUUUUGGAAUGACGACCUCUUUAUGCUAGGCUGAUUAUGAAGACGACUCCUUGUGAAAAUACCUAUUCGUCCAAUCAGAUGCCACAUACAGUUUCUAAACAUGCAAAAUUGGCUCCAGAUCAGUAGUGAAUUAUUGAGAAAAAUAAUAAUUUUGUGCAUAUAUAUGAAACUAAUCAGCAACCUUUACAUACCUUUAAAUAUAUAUAUAUAUAAUUUAUCCAAUGACUACUUAGGAAACAAACAAUAUAUAUGUAUAUAAUAUAAGUAUCAAAAUUUAAUUUUGAUUUACUUUGAAGGUCUAGCUAGCAAAUAUAAGGUCUUCAUUGUCUAAUAAAUUGCUGCCACUCCUUUGUUCCAUUGUGUAUAUUUUUGAGUUGUUCUUACUGAGAUUAUACUGGGACGUUGUGUGUAUUACCGUACUUUGAGGAUAUUUAUGUCUUGGCAGAUUAUUAACAAUGUUUAGGCUAUUUUUUAAUUCUUUUGUACUUAAAGCUAGCCUUAUAGGUCGUGUUUGAAUGAGCGCUUUCCAACAUGAAUAGAGCUAUUUUUUUAAUUAGAUAGUAGAACCAUGAAGUUGAUCAAUUUUAUUAUUAUUAUUUUUUUCUGCCAGCCACAACAUUUGCCUUAUGUAAGGAUUUCAAGAAAUAUCAAGGAAUGUAACUUCUAUUGUAUAAUCUUAUAUAAAGUUGAAUUGUAUAUAUUGGGGUCUUUUUAUGAAGUGAUUUAUAAAGCUGGGACAUAGAAAUAUGUAUAUGAAUAUUCUUAAAAAGGUGUAUGCUUUUGUAUACCUCUAGUGUACUUGGGCUAUGCCUAUCCUUUUAUCAAUGAAAUAUCAUAUUACUUAUCAAAAAAAAAAAUAUGUAUAUGAAUAAUGAUAUAUAUAUUUAUUUUGUCUUUUAAGGAUUUUUGGUCUGCAAGUUUAUGGCAUGACAAAUGCAUACAAAGACCAUUCAGCCUAUGCCCUUUCACCAUCUAUAUCUAUAGAUGGCUCUGUUAGAUUGUAGUCAAUACUUGUCUGGUUUUCAUAUCCUGGACAUCCAUUCCACUUUUGUUUAUGUAACCCUUAUUGCCCCAUUCUUGAGCUAAUUAAACUUUAGUGCCACAGAUAAGGGGUAUUUGUUGCACAUCAGAUCACUUCCUAGGUAUUUCUUUGAGUGCAUCUAUAAUUGGUUUUCGUGCAUCAAAUUUCUGAUUAAUGCAUGUAUAAAUUUCUAAGUUGUUGUGUAGCCACUUAUUUAUAUUGGCACCCUUAUUUGGCAUAUGAUCCUUUAUUAGACUUGUUUCUUUUCUUUUAGCAUUUACACAAUUAUACAUUUCUUGUUGCAUGUCUUUUCAACAAGGGGUCAUGUACAUUUUAUAAAUUUGUUUCUUGCUUGUUGACUAUAUAACUGCACAGUGCAAACAGUAUGUGCCAUGACAAAAACAUGACUUUUCGUUGAAAGUCUAUCUUUCUUAUCCAAAAGAAAAAUGCCAUCCAUGUACUUUGCAUCAAGACUAGCUACCAGGUUCUUGAUCUGGCGCAAUUAUUCUGUAUGAGUACAGUGUUUAUUACAAUUUGGUAAACUUUGGCAUUAACUAUUUUCAUUGUCUCGUUUACAUCACCUAUGGAAUCGAGUCAAUCAUCAUCAUGUGUAGUUGAUGCGUUGCAAAUGGAAUCACCAACCUGUUGGUGUGGCUGGAAAGCCCCCUUAAAGGCCUCUCACACUAGCAAACAUCCUGGAAGGAAAUUUUAUGCUUGCUCGAAGUACAACAUGGGAGAAGCAAAGUACCAAUUCUUCAUAUGGGCAGAUAUACUUCAACGAGUAGAGAGAAAAUUUGCACAAGAGAGAAUGCAGUUCGAAAAAGGGAGGACGAUUUAUUGUUGUGCGAGUAUGAAGUCU